This 29-nucleotide small RNA is filed under the name Bombyx mori (domestic silkworm). RNAcentral describes it as "ovarian small RNA-12489". The record is from RNAcentral. Lineage: Eukaryota; Metazoa; Arthropoda; Insecta; Lepidoptera; Bombycidae.
AUCGCACGAAUGCGAGCGGUAGGCGUCUC